This 635-nucleotide ribosomal RNA is filed under the name Microbacterium sp. Ri1Pt_3814. RNAcentral's name for it is "bacterial SSU rRNA". It matches the Rfam family "Bacterial small subunit ribosomal RNA", at positions 382 to 1028 of the family's 1533-position model. RNAcentral also lists the same sequence under 1 other name. The record is from RNAcentral. Lineage: Bacteria; Bacillati; Actinomycetota; Actinomycetes; Micrococcales; Microbacteriaceae.
CCUGAUGCAGCAACGCCGCGUGAGGGAUGACGGCCUUCGGGUUGUAAACCUCUUUUAGCAGGGAAGAAGCGAAAGUGACGGUACCUGCAGAAAAAGCGCCGGCUAACUACGUGCCAGCAGCCGCGGUAAUACGUAGGGCGCAAGCGUUAUCCGGAAUUAUUGGGCGUAAAGAGCUCGUAGGCGGUUUGUCGCGUCUGCUGUGAAAUCCCGAGGCUCAACCUCGGGCCUGCAGUGGGUACGGGCAGACUAGAGUGCGGUAGGGGAGAUUGGAAUUCCUGGUGUAGCGGUGGAAUGCGCAGAUAUCAGGAGGAACACCGAUGGCGAAGGCAGAUCUCUGGGCCGUAACUGACGCUGAGGAGCGAAAGGGUGGGGAGCAAACAGGCUUAGAUACCCUGGUAGUCCACCCCGUAAACGUUGGGAACUAGUUGUGGGGACCAUUCCACGGUUUCCGUGACGCAGCUAACGCAUUAAGUUCCCCGCCUGGGGAGUACGGCCGCAAGGCUAAAACUCAAAGGAAUUGACGGGGACCCGCACAAGCGGCGGAGCAUGCGGAUUAAUUCGAUGCAACGCGAAGAACCUUACCAAGGCUUGACAUAUACGAGAACGGGCCAGAAAUGGUCAACUCUUUGGACACU